AAAAAGUGUGGUAAUUUGUAUUGGUCCAUAAAAAUCCAAAUGACUGAAGAAGUUUGUGUUUGGCGUUUUAAAUGAUAAAGGUUGAGAAGAUGAAUACUUUGGCAAAGCACUGUAUAUCUGAGAGCUCAUGUGCAAUAACUGCUGAGAAGACAGAAGCAGAGCAGAGCGUUUCAUCAGCUGCCAUCAGAAGGAAGAACGUGUGCUGCCUGUUUGGCUUCCUCCUACCUAAGGUCUGAGAACCUACAGUCAGCAGUCUUUGAAAAGCUGAAUAAGAAAUCUCCCUUUUUGCCUGCCUGCAGGCCCCCUUUCUCAGCUGGCCUCACCAUCUGGAUAGAGCUGCUGACAUGUAAAUCGUGCCUUUAUUUUAUUCUUUUCAUUUUUUUUUGCAUGAUGCCUCAACUUUUCUCUUGUGAGUUCUGGAAAAAGAAAAGCUCAUGCUCUCAGGGCAAAUUAUGGCACAGGCUGGGACCAAAUAACUCUGGAUUACCUGCACAACGCAUAAAGUAUUACUGUAAAUUCCUAACACAACCGCAAAAGGAAAGGGCUUACGGUUUACAUUUUUAAGAGGGGGAAACCAGCGACAGAGCUAAUGCUAACCAGAUGUUCCCUCUCAAAUUCCAGUUCGGCCUUUGCUUUCUCAAGGUGGCAGCUGCAGAAUCUCUCGGAUCAAGACUUGCCCACUACUUUACCAAAUAAGAGCAACUAUUUAAAUUAGUCUCGCUAAAACUUUCAGCCUACUCCAAGCUACCUUUUUCAUUCCAAGUUUGUCAGAAAAGUUCUCUUUAGAGACCAGCUGAAAAAAAAAAACAACAACACUCAAAAAUGUUUCCAGCACCAAAACAGCUUGAGACUUUAAAGGCCUUAUUUGAUCCAUUUGCUCUUGGAGUACAGAGAUCUAGGUGUCGUUUUAGACUUAGGUUCUGCUUUUGACAGUGUAGACAAUAUUAUCUUAGCAUGGCUGGGACUUUAGGAGGCUUGGCAUUGAGAAAACUUAUCUACAGGGGGUAAGGUCUUAAAUAAGAGUUUCUCUAUCAACACAGACAUUUUCCUUCAGGAGCAACAACUCUUGCCUAUAAAAGGUUCCUCAAGGUUCUAUCCUUGGCCCAGUCUUGUUUUCAUUAUAUUCGUUAUCUCUGUGAAAUACAACAUUCCUUUCUGAUGUUUUGUCAACGACGUCCUUUGAUUUGAUCAAGUUCCAGGACUUGAUUUGAGAAACAUGGCAAAAGUAAAUGCACCCUCAGCUGCACCUUUAACUCUUUUUUCCUCUCCAUUUAUAUUGCAGACUGCAGCUUUUGGCCCCAUUAACCAACAAAACCCAAACAUCGAUUGUCACACAGAGAAAGUAUGCAGGCAUGGCCUUGUGAAACAGGGGAAAAGUGGAGCCUGGUAGCAGCCUGGACUUUAUCUGAAGCCGACUCGGCCUUCUCCCCCAUCUGCAGGUGCCGGGACAACAGCAGGGCAGAGCACAGACCACUAUGAAGAUCAGAGGAGCAUGCAGGAGGCAGGAUAACGGAGAAACUAGCUAAAG
Long non-coding RNA from Fundulus heteroclitus (mummichog), 1528 nucleotides. RefSeq lists it as uncharacterized. NCBI's taxonomy places the organism in Eukaryota, Metazoa, Chordata, Actinopteri, Cyprinodontiformes, Fundulidae. The record is from RefSeq and is a predicted model, not a curated record. The transcript has 2 exons.